UACGUAGGGGGCGAGCGUUAUCCGGAUUUACUGGGUGUAAAGGGAGCGUAGACGGCCAUGCAAGCCUGAUGUGAAAGGUGCGGGCACAACCCGCACACUGCAUUGGGAACUGUAUGGCUGGAGUGCCGGAGGGGCAGGCGGAAUUCCUGGUGUAGCGGUGAAAUGCGUAGAUAUCAGGAGGAACACCGGUGGCGAAGGCGGCCUGCUGGACGGCGACUGACGUUGAGGCUCGAGAGCGUGGGGAGCGA
Molecule: ribosomal RNA, 248 nt
Filed under: uncultured Lachnospiraceae bacterium
Lineage: Bacteria; Bacillati; Bacillota; Clostridia; Lachnospirales; Lachnospiraceae
Description: partial 16S ribosomal RNA
Rfam family: Bacterial small subunit ribosomal RNA
Source: RNAcentral